UCCUGUUAUUUGUAGUGAGGAAGUCUUCUUAUGACUAUCUCAAUUCCAUCUGCAGGAGCAAGUUUGUCUCUUGUGAAAAAUCAGCAGCCUCACAGAAUACAGGGUCUGGGAUGAGAGUCCACUGAGAAAGUACAGCCUGGAUUUCAUCAGAAUCCUCGCCUCUAGGAGAUUCCUGUUAACAUCAGUGUCAUAAUGCUGUAGACAACAACCAUGCUAGUGCUCCCACAACAUAGAGAAAAAGAGGCUAAAGGAUUGGGCUGCCUGAAUCAGGAAAAGAAUAGAAUAGAAUGGUCCUUCCCAGAUGAACCUGAGUUUGAGUGGCUUUCACUCCUCCCUGAUUUGAGGAGCAUGGUACAGGGAAGCUGGCCACAUACUCUGAUGGUGACUUUCAUGCAAGCCUCGUCUUUGUCUCAGGUGGCAUACACUGAUUAUACACAGGUCUCCUGCUACCCAUGUUCUUCUUUGACACUGACAAGGCUGUACCUGUCUUGCUGGCCUGAGGCCCGAAGAAACACUCAUAUGGUUUGCUCCUUGCCAGAAAAUACCAUGAGCCACUCUAAGAAAACUCUCACCUAGCAAAGACCACUCCACCUAUCUUGAUCAACAGCCGGCAGCAACACAUUGCAGAUAUAAUCUCAAGACCUUGUGGCAUGUACUUGUCACUACAUGCAUAACUUACUAUGGACAGAGGAUCACGGAGAUUUUGAACAUAAUUUCCCACACGACAGGAGAUUAAAUAGACCACAUUGGAAGAAAGCAAGAAGAAGCUAGGUCUCUGGAGUACCAAAAAGUAAACUUCAGCCACCUCUGGAAGCAGAGACACAGCAGGAAUGGGCUACUUUCUCAAUAGUUCUUGCUUUCAAGAACUCUAAAGUAUGAGUUAUUUGAUUCUAAGUAAGAUUCUAAUAAAAAAGGGCCCAGCUCAGGGAAGAUUUGCAAUGAAAGGAAAUCAUGCUCUCCUCAUUAUGUCUUUCCUUCUCAUCUCCCUUUGUGAUGCUACCUUUCUUAGGGAGUCCACUUCUUCACCCCAAGAACUCACUACCCCAUCAGAACCUGCUCAUGAAAUUGCAUUCCUACUACCUAUAAUAGAAUAUUAUAUCAACCUCCUCCCAUUCUGAUGUGUUUACAUAAAGCAUAAGACAUCAGUGAAUAAGAAAAAAAGACACUUUUACAAAAAGAACUUUCCCAACGUCCCAGAAACCAUUCCUCGCAGGAUCCUAGAGAAGAAUCUUGGAUCUGCAGCCCUUAGUAGCCUUCCUUGAAAGAAUAAAGUAACAACUGUACCUACCUACAGGAUGUUUCUUGAAAGAAUAAAAUAAUAAUUGUACCUACCUACAGGAUGGUUCUGGAGGCUAAACGGAUUCAUUCAUGCAAAGCUGCAGAGCAGUGCCUGACACAGAAUGAUGCUUAAUAUGUGCUACUUAUUAUCUUUGCCACUGCUUGUUG
RNAcentral lists this long non-coding RNA (1446 nucleotides) under Fukomys damarensis (Damara mole-rat). Its description in RNAcentral is "lncRNA (ENSFDAG00000025452.1)". Lineage: Eukaryota; Metazoa; Chordata; Mammalia; Rodentia; Bathyergidae. The record is from RNAcentral.